This 88-nucleotide transfer RNA is filed under the name Prolixibacteraceae bacterium. RNAcentral describes it as "tRNA-Ser". It matches the Rfam family "tRNA". From Rfam's summary of the family: Transfer RNA (tRNA) molecules are approximately 80 nucleotides in length. Their secondary structure includes four short double-helical elements and three loops (D, anti-codon, and T loops). Lineage: Bacteria; Pseudomonadati; Bacteroidota; Bacteroidia; Marinilabiliales; Prolixibacteraceae. The record is from RNAcentral.
GGAGAGAUGCAAGAGUGGUUUAAUUGGCACGCCUGGAAAGCGUGUGUACUUCAAAAGGGUACCGAGGGUUCGAAUCCCUCUCUCUCCG